RNAcentral lists this non-coding RNA (238 nucleotides) under Monodelphis domestica (gray short-tailed opossum). RNAcentral describes it as "Eukaryotic large subunit ribosomal RNA". It matches the Rfam family "Eukaryotic large subunit ribosomal RNA", at positions 2425 to 2620 of the family's 3401-position model. The record is from Rfam by way of RNAcentral. Lineage: Eukaryota; Metazoa; Chordata; Mammalia; Didelphimorphia; Didelphidae.
ACUCUAGUCUGGCACGGUGAAGACACCUGGGAGGUGUAGAAGAAGUGGGAGGCCCCCGGGCUCGCCGCGAGGGCAUCCUGGUCCCGGCUGCCGGUGAAAUACCACCACUCUAAGAGUUUUUUCACUGACCCGGUGAACCGGGGGAGGGGGGGAGGGAAAGGGGAGGGCUGGUGUCGCUUCUGGCACCGAGCGCAGGAGUCCCCCCUCCGCGCUCCGGGGACAGCGUCAGGUGGGGAGU